AGAGUUUGAUCAUGGCUCAGGAUGAACGCUAGCUACAGGCUUAACACAUGCAAGUCGAGGGGAAACGACAUCGAAAGCUUGCUUUUGAUGGGCGUCGACCGGCGCACGGGUGAGUAACGCGUAUCCAACCUGCCCACCACUUGGGGAUAACCGUUGCGAAAGUAAGGCUAAUACCCAAUGAUAUCUCUAGAAGACAUCUGAAAGAGAUUAAAGAUUCAUCGGUGAUGGAUGGGGAGUGCGUCUGAUUAGCUUGUUGGCGGGGUAACAGCCCACCAAGGCAACGAUCAGUAGGGGUUCUGAGAGGAAGGUCCCCCACAUUGGAACUGAGACACGGUCCAAACUCCUACGGGAGGCAGCA
RNAcentral lists this ribosomal RNA (358 nucleotides) under uncultured bacterium. RNAcentral describes it as "bacterial SSU rRNA". It matches the Rfam family "Bacterial small subunit ribosomal RNA", at positions 8 to 353 of the family's 1533-position model. The record is from RNAcentral.